UCAAGUCUGAGAUUUUCAAUGACAAACCAUGAAUCCACUCUCAUUUGCUACCAAAGAAUCUGGUGGUUGAGAACUCCGGCUUCGGCUGGAUACUCCAAUUGCUAGUGCCUGACUACACCAUCCCUUCAAGGACCAAGUUCAGCCGGAAUGUGGUCCACUCCCUGUACGAGCGGUGCAGGAAGCGCAUGUCAGCCAUGCUGUGUGCAGCACCAGCUGGCACCAAAGUGCAUUUCACCACUGAUCUGUGGAACAGUAUGAGUGGGAUGCAUGCUGCUUUCUUGGCCCUAACUGCCUACUGGUGGGGUUCAGAGAAAGAGGAGACCUCCAGUGUUGCCUCUGGCUCCAGCAUAUCCCAUACCACAUUUUGGCUCAGGUGGACUGUCUUGCACGUGGAGACCUUGGAUGUCAAGCACACCAAGGAGGAGGUGGCAGCCGUACUCAGCAGCUGAACUGAGGAGUGGAUAGGUGGGUUUCCACACCUCACCCGGGGCUUCAUUGUGACAGAUAAUGGCUCCAAUGUAACAGCAGCGGUAGAGUCUGUGUUGGAGUAUGUGAACAUCUUCUGCAUGGCACACACACUCCACCUGACUGUCAGGGAUGCCCUUGGCCUCAAGGAGAUGAAGGUGUCCAGGGAACAUAGCCGCCCCAUGGUAGGUGCUGUUGCUGCCAUGGCUGUGCUUGUGGAGAGGUUCCGCAAUAUUGCAGCCCACUUCCACCAGAGUGAGAAGUCCAGGUGCCUGCUUCACGAGCGGCAGUAUAUCCAUGGGCUUCUACAACAUCUCAUCCCCAUGGUGUCACACCCUCAGUCUCAGAUAGCGAGGAGGAAGGGGAAGUUGACAGCCUUCCAGCCGAUGCAGGGGUGCCUGAGGGGCAGAGCCCAGCUGUCAGUUCCCAAGAGACGGCUGAGGAGGGUCUGGCUGGUGUUUCAGAGCAGGCACAGCAGUCUGGGGCAACAGAGACAGCGACGGACAGACUAGAGGAUGAAUUGUGUGGGCAACCCCCACUGACUCCACAGCAACGCCGUGCCACAAGGCGAAGAACACAGCUGGAAACUUUCAGGAGCAGGGGCGUAGCAAGGUUGGAGUGGGCCCAGAGACAAGAUUUAAAAAUGGGCCCCUCGCUGAUAUACACACACAAAUACACUUCACAAUAUAUAGUGCACUCACAUCCCCAUUAUGUAAAUGGUGAAUACCUAGUUCACAUUGAAUCUAGUUCACAGGGGCAGAUCCAUCAGGAAAUUACAGGGGGUGCAACAAGAAUUCCCCCCAUAUAAAUAUUGGGGCUUGGAUUUUCUUUCUCUUGCAAAUGUACUAUGCCAGGGGGUGUCAAACUAAAAUUUGGUGGUGGGCCAGAUUAGAUUCUGAUGCACCUCUGGUGAGCCACACAUAGCCUUGCACCCACCUCACACCACUGAUCUUCCUCCUCUCUGCUCUUUCUCUCAUUCCCCCCCCCACUUAAAUUAGUUGAAGUCACUACUUUUUACACUAAAAUAUAGCCAGGGAAAGAUUGAUUUUUGGAGGGAGACCACCAGCCCAACAGCCAGCUUCCUUGGCUCGAAGAUGCCAGGUUAACCAAUAAGGCUGGGAGAAAAGUUGACCCUUUUUUUUACUGUCUGCUAUUGCUGAUCUCCAAGAGACUCAAUAUUAAUUCAUAGGGGGUGCAACACGGAUGGGCGGGGAGUCAUGUGAUAUGCCUCUGAGGGGCCCCUUGAGGCAGUGGGGCCUUGAGACAACUGUCUCCCCUUGCCUAAUGGUAGUUACGCCCCUGAUCAGGAGGAGUAAACGCCUCUUGCAGAGGGCUAAGCCUUGAAUCCCUGCCAGCUAAGAGUUAUCAGCUUGGACUAUAAAGCACGUCAACAGCUUUCUGUUAGCUGCCGGAAGACAACAUUUGUCAACCCUCGUGUCGACAGCUUUCAGCCCGAGCCUAAUAUAGAGGACUAUUCCAAGCCGUGUUUCAUUUCUGCAGCCGUUUGUAUUGUGGACUAUCUUCCUGGACUUCCCUUCUGGGUGGCCAGAUUGCUGACACAUGGAUGUAGAUACCUGGUGGAAUUCCACCUUCCUCUUGUUCCAGCACCUUCUGGAGCAGGAGGUGGCCCUCAAUGACCUGGCGAGGAACGAGUCCUUGGGUAUGUACAACCUAUCCAAUGCGGAGUGGAAGCUCAUGUCCGAGAUGGUGUUGGCACUUGAGCACUUCCUGUUUGCCAUGAAGAGCUUGUGUGGUAACACCACUCCUCUGAGCCAGACCCUGCCCAUGGCUCUCCUGGAGAAGCUGAUGGAUGAACUCCGGACUUCUCUGACCAUGCCAGAUGGGUGUGCUCUGGCUGGAAGCCGGGGUUGUCAACAGGCUGUUUGAUAAGUUGGGUGACAGGGAGGAGUACGUCCUGGCUUGUCUCUAUGACCUGACCAUCAAGGGCAAUGUCAUUUGUGUCGAUGACUUGCCCAGGUGGAUGGACCUCCUGGUCAAUAGUUAGGGAAGAGGAGGUCACUAGGACCGGCAGAGACCAGGAAGGUGGUGAUGGUGUGCCCUCUGAGCGUGCGCGACCCACACCCAGCAGUGCGGGUGACCCUUCAGCUCCUGCCCCUUCUUCUUCCCAGUCUGGCAGCGUGGCAUCCCAGGCAGUGGCACCAACACAACAGGCAGUUCCUCCCACUAAAUCAGCCCAGUGGCUUAAGCAGGUGUGCCUGGGUGCCUUUCCCAGUUUGCGGGAGGCUCAGCCUGCCAGGCCCACCAGUGCUGUGCAGUGCAUUGCCCAGUACUUGGAGGAGCCUGUGGAGGAAGACCCCGAGAUGGACUGCUCACAGUUCUGGGCAACCCAUUUCCAAGUCUGGCCGGACCUGGAGGUGGUUGCUGCACGCCUCCUCUUUUGCCCGCCAACCAGCAUCCAGAGCAAGCAGGUGUUUUCACGUGCUGGCAACGUGGUAACUCCCACUUGCUCCCAGUUGGUCCCUGGCUUGGUCGAGCAGCUGGUUUUCCUCAAGGCCAACCUCUCCCUGCUUGGCUACCCUGAGCUGAAGGUUGAGCUGGGUGAGUGAUUGGCCCAUGGUUGACCCAUGGUGCUGGUAACCUGCUUCUACUCAUCCCUACCCUUUUUCCUUCCUCCUUCAGUUGUGCCAUGUCGCAGCGGGCCCGCUAGUGCUGUGACUUGGCAACUGGAUACACCCUGUCACUGGUGUAACCUGAUGCUGAACUAGCCCAUGGUUCCACCUGACCACAGCACCACAGGCCGUGGGCACACACACAGACACUAGGUGGUUUGUGCCAGUGUGGCACUGUGUAGAUUUGUAAAUAUGUUGAUGUGUGUUGUGUUGCUUGCUGUUGUACAUAGUUAACUUGCGGGGGGAGGGCAGCAGGACUGCCAAAAUGUAUACUUGUAAAUAUUUCAGAGUGUGUAAAUAUUGUUGGAAGUGAAGGACUCUGCGCUGCCUCAUGCCUCAAUGACAGAGGGGGACAGAUUAGUGAGUCAUAGGGCUAGAGGGGUCAAGACAUUGGUCAUUCCUCCUCUCUACUGCUCUGACACCGUCCCUUUGAUAUGUAGAUUGCUACUCUCAGGGACUUCCUUCCUGCAUGUCUCCCUUCCUCUCUUCUUCUUCUCCCUAUCACACAUGCUCACCUCUCUCUCUUCACCAUGUGUGCAGAGAUGCAGACAGCAUCUCUCUGCAUCCAGCUAGCUAGCUAGAUUAGAGAGUCUAUCUCUCCACUUUCCUAUCUAGAAUAGAAUUUUCCAAUAAAGACACCUUAUAUUGAUUUGAAACUAUGAAAUGGCUCCACGUUUCUUUUACUCUCAGCAAACAUGCAUGCCUGGGCAGACUCCACUGUUUUGCACCUCUGUGCACUUUGCUGGUAAUAGAAGGGUAUCUCAUACUAGAGAGAAUUCCCAACAAAUAUGUGCUUGUGAUAAAAGUGUGCAUAUGUUUGUGUGAGUGCAUGCGUGGAGGUUUCUUCUGUUGUGUGUGUGGGUGGUGGAUGUUGUUAGUAGUAGUAGUAGAGGUUUUUUUCUUUCCUUUCUGUAGAUACUUAGUGGUUUUGGUCUGGAUUGUGUAGAUAGAUAGUUGGUGGUAUAAAUAUUACUGUAUAGAUGGAUUUGUAUAUAUACUUGUGUAUAUAUGUAUUUGUUAAUUGUUUUUUUUAAAUGUGCCCCCCCUUUCCCCCUCACCAGUUUGGUUCUGCUGACACGUACACAAACACACACACCAGACACUCAUGUACCAGCCAUGAUGAGUAAGUGGUCUCCUGCCACACCAUGUCGUGUGUGGCCUCCACUGACCUGCCUCUGAUCCAGACUUUCCUAUCCCUUUAAUUUUUUCAGAGCCCUCUUCUCUUUCCCCUCUUCUAGCUAGCAGCACACACAUGCAAACACAAAAUGCAAACAUGCAUGCAUGCAUGCUGUUGAUGAUGACUAUAUGUGUUCUGGUGCCACCACGUGCCUGGGGCCCUGUGUGGUCUCCUGAAAAGGUGUGGUGGACCAGACACUCUGAGGUGUUUCUUUCCCCACAGGCAAAAUGCAUGCAUUGCACAUGAAGAGAAGAGCAGAAGAAGCAGGUGCGUGGUGUGUGUUACUUUAAGUUCUCCUUCAGUGUGUUGGUGUGUUUUUGCCUUGCCCCUCUUUCUUUGCAGUUUGCGUGCCGGGUUCAAUCAAUCAAUCAUCUUUAUUACGGUCAAAGACCAGCACAGGAUAUAGUACAGAUAUAAUGGGGGGGAAAUCAUUAAAAUUAUUAUAAACCAGAUAGAUACACUUAAAAUGCUGUGAAUCCAUAGCUAUAAUUAGCCUAUAAAAGUAUGAUUGAUUAUUAUGAUUAUGAUUAGUGAAAUACAACUCUAAAAACUGUGGGGUGGUUAAUAAAAUAAGAUAAAGCAGGGGUAAAAUUAUGCUUAUGAAGAUACAACCCUAGUAGAGAUAAAACAAGGGUACAACUAUCUUUAAAAGCAGGGCAUCUAAAAAUGUAAAAUAGUUAAGAUAACAUAUAAAAGCUAACAUGUGAAGUAGAAGAGCAAAACAAAAUUAUACAAUCAGGUAAAAUGACCAGUAGUUAAAAAUCUGCUGCAAGGGGUAUUGACUGGCGAUCAGGACCCGGAGGAUCUUGCACGCUGCCCCACAGAAACUGGCAGCAUUGUACGUAAAGGUUCGAUUGUCAUCUGAGAGCAGCAUCUUGGUGUAAGCUUGUCUAGCGUGACCAGGGUAUUUGAGAAGCAGGGGAGAUAUGAGCUUGUCACAGCUGUCUUUAUAAAAGGGACAUGAGAGGCGCACAUGCUCUAUGGUUUCCACCUCCCCAGAGUCACAAAGACAAAGCCUUUCCAUAAGUGGGAUCUUCCUGUACUGCCUUCCAGAAUGGUGGAGGGAAGGGCAUGGCACUGGGCAAGGGUGACUGCCCUUCUAUGGCUUGGUGUUUCCAAUUGUGUCAAAUAUGCAGAGGGGGAGAUGAUGAAUCUAUGACUAUCCGGGGCCAGAAAGCCUGGCACCUUACUUAAAUCUGGCUGGUGUUCAGUGUCCAGAAUCCUCUGUUUGAUGGCUGUUUUUACCUUGUCCCAGCCCAUAGCAAGCAGAAGUGACGGGGACAAGCCCAGAUGUGCCACUUUGUUGUAGACUACCCAUUUCCAAGAGGAUUGAAAGUUGUUCUGCAGGGUUAGUUGGGCCAGGCCCCAUGGACAAAGGGCUAGUUUGAGCCAGUGGUUGAGAACUGUCAUCCAAACUUUAGCCUCCACUUUUAUCAUGCCAGUUUCCAGCUGUAGAGUGGCACUGGAGACACAGCAGGCACUUGUAAAGUCCCUCUCAAGAACGCAGAUUGAACCCGUUCCAAUAUAGUAAGAUUGGAUGGAGAUCGUGGGUGGGCACCAUAUAAUAAUUGUACCAAUGGCUUGUCUUCAUAUAGUUUGAGUGCUGCAGGCACGUAAUGGCUGCCUCUAGAACGAAGGAACCUCAAGAUGGCAGUGGAGCUCCUCUGUGCUGCUAGGGCAAUGUGAUCACAAUGGGGCCUUCUUGAGCCAGAGGCAUGGAGGACCACCCCCAGGUUUCAGCAGCUACCUGCCAUGUUUUUCCAGAGAGAGCUGCAGGUGCCAGGGCCACAAUCAGGGAAUAUGCUGCUCAGGCUGGAUGUUAAGCAAAACAGGAAAGCAGAAGAGAAAUUAAGGUAUGUGGAAACAAAGGGAGUGUUCACAAGAACAGCUUGUUCAGAAUGUCGUACUGGAAGUAGCACCUAAUGCUAUACCAAAAUAAGAGAAAGGGUGAUUACCAUUUAUGUAGAGGAGGAACAAAAAUAAACGAAGAAUCAAGUUGGAAUGAAGAAUGUGAAGGGUAUCGGCAUCUGCAGCCAGGUCCCCAUCCUGGAAAGGAAAGUCAUUAUUGUCUUCUGAAGUAAAGCCUAUUCAAGCUUGGGUGAUCAAGAGGAGAUCAAAAGAGAACAGCAGGAAUUAAGAGAACAGGAAGCAGAGCCCAGGCAAGACAGCAAACAAGGCAGACACCUGAACAAAGCUGGUGGCAGAUUAACUUUCAUGACACUUAAUCUUGCUCUUUGGGAAAAACUGAAAUUAUUGCAUCACCACUGCCUAGCUGAGCUGACCAAAGUUCACCAGUUCCAACAGCAGUCAGCCAGAUUGUAUAACUUACAACGGAUAUGUAGCAGAAACAAAGGUUUCAAGGAAAGAAAUGAAUCCUAAAGAGGAGCCCUUUAGGUGCUGCUGUCUCUUUUCAGUUGAUGCUGAUUGGGUAAAUGAAUGUUGGCCUCUGACAAUAUUAUGAAGAUGGCAAUGUUGGUCUACCUUAUGAGAUAAUGAGGCUAUUCUCACGAGCAGCCUAACCCAUGCUAGGGCAACCCAGCCUGGGUUAGGCUGCUCAUAUGGAGUGCCAGGAUCCCUCUUGAGUCUCGAUCCCAGCACUUCCGCUCGGCCUAACCCGGCUUUUUACCCAGCAUUAAAGGUGCAAGUGCGCCCUUAACCCUGGCGCUGGGGUUGUAUGUGUGCACAGGCUGCAGGUGGCCUACGCACAGACAAAGCCAGGCUGCAAGGACCCCUCAAUGCACUGUGCUCUUGGCACAGUGCGUUGAGGGAUGCUGGAGGAUUUCCUCCUCUGGUUCCCUUUUCUGCUGCUCACUGCGGAGUGGCUCAUGUGCCACACAAGCGACAGAGCCGGUAAAAGAAAAUCUAGCGUUUGUGGGGAGGCAGGCAGUAGCCUGUCUCCUCACCAGCUCUCCAACCUGUCAACAUUUUUGGUCAUGUGCACAACCUUAAUGUCUGUAAUGCAUAGUCCAACAUCAGCAGGAAGGCCCAAUUUAUGCAGCCCCAUAUUUAUUAAGGUAUCCUCAUGAGGUGGGCAGGGGAUCUUCUCAUUACAGUCCCUCACCUUAAAACAGAUACCAGUCAUAAAUAUUAUAAACACCUCUCAUUUAACUUUUUUUUUAAAAAAUGUAGUGGACAAAGAAGUCCAGUUUCCAAGAAGGUCAUUCAAAUCCUUUUGAAUAGAUUUGAUUCUAAACUCUUGUUGUGACUUGGACGUUCAAAUAAGAGGAAAGUAGACUCCA
This is a long non-coding RNA of Hemicordylus capensis (graceful crag lizard), 7511 nucleotides long. RefSeq lists it as uncharacterized. The record is from RefSeq and is a predicted model, not a curated record. NCBI's taxonomy places the organism in Eukaryota, Metazoa, Chordata, Lepidosauria, Squamata, Cordylidae. The transcript is spliced from 3 exons.